CUGAUGAUUUAGUAUUUUCCUUUUAUCUUCAUUCAGUUUAGGAGGAGGAAAACUAGUAGCUGCCUUCCACAAUUUUACUGUCACUUCCUUUAUGUCCAUUCUUGAAGUGACCAUUGGAAAUGUUGUGUCGAAAAGGAUUAUGAGGCUAAGGCAAAUGGAAGAAAAUGUCAAGAUCGAGUAGCUAUGUCUGUUAUAACAGAGAAAAAAAAAAGUGUUACAGCAAAUAGUCUACAAACUUACCAACUCUGGACAAACCCAAAUAAAUACUACAUCACUUGGUCAACUAUAAUCCAGAAGAGCACCACGAUUACUGAAUUACCACUCUAGUACUGACUGAAGUUUGUUGAAAACAGGAAGCAAGAUAUCUGUGAACAUGCUUUGAUCUACUAACGUUAUGAUGAUUAUUAUGCCUGCUAGAGUAAUUCUAGCCCCAGUCAGGCUACUGAGAAGUAAGUCAGCAAACAAUAAAGAUCUACUGGAUCUGAUAGAGAAUCAGCAAUCAUCAAGAGACUUUGCACAUUGAGCUAGAUGCAUAACUGGACAAGCUUCCUUGAAACUAUCUGUGGCCGUGUGAUUAAGUUCCAGGCAGGGACUUCCCUAAUCCUACUGAAGCAGUGAUACUACAAGAAAUCGAAGCUGUUUGUGGAGCCUAUCCUUCUAGCCCCUCAAAAAAUUCCAGUCAAUUCCCAGAGACCUAGAUGCUAUAAGCAAGACAGAGCAUGCCAUGGAGGCAGGAAUCUCAGAGUUCCAACUGGUGACGCUGCCAGGUCCAAGAGAGAAGUUCGACAGGUAGUAGAGGGCUGUGGGAAGAGCACUGAACUUGGAGUCAAGACACUUCAGUCCAGUCUCAUCUUCAAUCUGCUGGUUAAACAGGAGCAAAUCUCCCAGCACCCUGAGGAUCACCAUCCCUCUACCGAAACACGACUAUUAAACUACAUGAACUCUAAUGUACGUUUCCUUUAUUUUCAGAGGGAAAAAAAUGUUUUAUUAAACAUAUU
Mustela erminea (ermine) is the source of this 998-nucleotide long non-coding RNA. RefSeq lists it as uncharacterized. The record is from RefSeq and is a predicted model, not a curated record. The transcript has 7 exons. Lineage: Eukaryota; Metazoa; Chordata; Mammalia; Carnivora; Mustelidae.